CACUUUCAACUGCUGACCUUGCACUAUUUAAAGAGGCGAACGACAAACUGGUUUUCUCAAUAGGAUCCUUUACUUCUGUAAGUGUGGCAUUGGAUAUUUCAAGUGCUUGGAAAGAGGUCUCUAAGGUAUCUUCGCCAGCCUCGAUAUAACGGAAAGAGGAGAGUUGACUAAUGAUAAAAUCUUCUUCACCCGAGACAAUGACGAGCUUGUCAUCGAUGACAAAC
RNAcentral lists this long non-coding RNA (224 nucleotides) under Lathyrus oleraceus (garden pea). RNAcentral describes it as "Pisum sativum (pea) long non-coding RNA (PSAT_LNC009831)". Lineage: Eukaryota; Viridiplantae; Streptophyta; Magnoliopsida; Fabales; Fabaceae. The record is from RNAcentral.